Heterocephalus glaber (naked mole-rat) is the source of this 1669-nucleotide long non-coding RNA. RefSeq lists it as uncharacterized. The record is from RefSeq and is a predicted model, not a curated record. Lineage: Eukaryota; Metazoa; Chordata; Mammalia; Rodentia; Bathyergidae.
CUACCAUUUCCCACAAUUCCCCCUUUUUUAUUUUAUUUAGGCUAAAUUCUUGAUUCUAACAUCACGAAGAUCAAGAGACAGGAUCUUGACAGGCCAGGAAGGGAGAUGUCUUAUGUCAGCUCAAUUUGAUGUCUAGUCCUUCUAUAAUUUUAUAAAACAGUAAGAGAUAUAGUAAAAGAGGAAAUAAUACUGAAAAGAAAUCAUCUUUAAAUUUUUCAAUCAUUGUAUAAAGGGAACAGAGAUGGUUUCUGUUUUUGUUUUAGCAUAUAGGUAAUUCCUUUUGGGGGGCACAAUCCCACACAGUAAGGUAGGCAUUGUUACAUUUAUCUUAGUCUUAAAGGUUAACAAGUAACUCAUAAAGCCACAGGCAAGUUUACAUGUCUCAUGUCUCUGUUCACCAGAGCCGUACAUCUAAGAGUGUAUCGCAGCCCUCCUCUAUCAGAUGUUCCAGAAAAGCAGGGUGAUUUCUGCAGAAAUCAAGCCCACAAUCUUUCCCUCCAUCUGUAGAGUCACGGGGCCAUGAUUCUUUGACCCCAGACAAUGGUUACUAAGAGAGCUUAGGAAUACAUGUUUACUUCCUAUGAACUUUUACAUCUUUUAAGGUUUUCUGCAAUCCUUUCAGCAAAAAGGCCAGAGGAAGUUCUCUGAGACAUUUACUUAGUUCUUUCAAUUAAGUUUCUUACAAUUAGGAACUAAAUCCUAGAGUUGAGGACAUUCACAGAGAAUUGCUUAAUUUUCUUAUUUUACAAGCUUCUUACAAUUAGUAACUAAAUCCUACAUUUUCCCCAUAUUCCUCCUUUUUUGUUUUAUUUAAGCUGAAUUCUUGAUUGUUGAUUUCUUCAGCACGUCUAGAAGAUCAGAGAAGACAGGAUCUUGAAAAAGUCAGGAGGGUGUGUUCUGCCCAGAUCGCGAAGUCCCCAAAGACCACCAAGGAGCUGAUUCCGAUGCAAACACACGAGGGUCGUGUAUUGAAGCUCGAGCAGGGACUCUCAACCGUCGCCGACGCAGCGGGUUGAGCAAGUACAGAUGUUAUCAUAGGUAUCACUUCAGCAUCUGUCAAGAGACCUACAUCAUCAUCACAUCCUGGUUCAGUAUAAGUAAAUUACUUUAUUUGAGAACAUUUGAGCUGAUGGAAGAUGACUUUAGAAUACAGAGUGUGCUGCUUCUUUUCCAUGAUUUUCUGCAAUCAAGACACAAGAAUAUACUACGUGCUUCUUCUAACUAGAGACAAAUACUUGGAAGAACUGGAGAUCAGAGACCACAGCUACCUCCUGACCAGAAAUUUCUCUGAACUUUAGGUACUUUUGAAACAGGACUUAAGAAGAAAAGAAUCAAGUUUCCCAACCUUAAGAAAUAUGGCUGUUUUUCUUUGUUCUAAUACAGACAAAAUCAGUGGCUUUGUCCCUAUAAAUAAAGUUUUAUAAUCUCCUGAUCUCAUAACAUCCUGUUUUUGCCCAACCAAAGGCACUGGAAUAUGUUAAGUGGGGAAACUGUCACAGCUUGAUAAACUACCUUUGUUCUGCCUACCCAUUCUGAAGUUACAUGCUACUAGGUAGAUCAAUUUCCUUGACAGCAUGUAUUAAACUGAAGUCCUUCCUUUGUUUGGGGCUCAACUUUGGAUAGGAGUCUGAUGAGAUGGUGUACACCUAAAUAAAAUCCUCCUGUUUCA